This 228-nucleotide ribosomal RNA is filed under the name Triticum aestivum (bread wheat). RNAcentral describes it as "partial small subunit ribosomal RNA". Lineage: Eukaryota; Viridiplantae; Streptophyta; Magnoliopsida; Poales; Poaceae. The record is from RNAcentral.
AUGCUAGUUUGGAAUGUCAGAGGCUUGAACUCGGCUGCUAGAAGAGGCGUAGUACGGAGAUUAGUGCAGCAGUUUAAUGUAUCCUUCGUGUGCUUCCAAGAAUCAAAAUUAUCAGAUGUUUUCGCGGAGAUUGUUCGGGAGUGCUGCGGGCCUGCCUUCACUGGUUUCUGUUUCCAGCCAGCGGACGGUACCCGGGGCGGGAUCAUCAUGGCAUGGAAAGACGAUGAG